UACGUAGGUGGCAAGUGUUGUCCGGAAUCAUUGGGCGUAAAGAGCUCGUAGGCGGCCUGUUGCGUCCGCUGUGAAAACCCGAGGCUCAACCUCGGGCCUGCAGUCGAUACGGGCAGACUAGAGUUCGGCAGGGGAGACUGGAAUUCCUGGUGUAGCGGUGAAAUGCGCAGAUAUCAGGAGGAACACCGGUGGCGAAGGCGGGUCUCUGGGCCGACACUGACGCUGAGGAGCGAAAGCGUGGGGAGCGAACAGG
RNAcentral lists this ribosomal RNA (253 nucleotides) under uncultured bacterium. RNAcentral describes it as "partial 16S ribosomal RNA". It matches the Rfam family "Bacterial small subunit ribosomal RNA", at positions 524 to 776 of the family's 1533-position model. The record is from RNAcentral.